CCCUUAGAUGUUCUGGGCCGCACGCGCGCUACACUGAUGAACGCAACGAGACCACCUGUACCGAAAGGCAUGGGUAAACUUGUGAAAGUUCAUCGUGAUGGGGAUAGAUUAUUGCAAUUAUUAAUCUUCAACGAGGAAUUCCUAGUAAGCGCGAGUCAUAAGCUCGCGUUGAUUACGUCCCUGCCCUUUGUACACACCGCCCGUCGCUCCUACCGAUUGAAUGGUCCGGUGAAAUCUUCGGAUUGCUGGAUAGGACUUCAUUGACCUAUCUGCGAGAAGUUGCUUGAACCUUAUCAUUUAGAGGAAGGAGAAGUCGUANCA
RNAcentral lists this ribosomal RNA (321 nucleotides) under uncultured eukaryote. RNAcentral's name for it is "partial 18S ribosomal RNA". It matches the Rfam family "Eukaryotic small subunit ribosomal RNA", at positions 1470 to 1796 of the family's 1831-position model. The record is from RNAcentral.